This is a non-coding RNA of Gossypium arboreum, 103 nucleotides long. The record is from Rfam. Lineage: Eukaryota; Viridiplantae; Streptophyta; Magnoliopsida; Malvales; Malvaceae.
CAGUAUGUAGGCACUUCUAAAUCAAUGUUUUGAAACGCUCCCAUGCUUUGUGAAGGCUUUCUCCUUCUAACUGUUUAAAAAUCAAAAUUUUCCUUCUUAACUG